Molecule: long non-coding RNA, 365 nt
Filed under: Manihot esculenta (cassava)
Lineage: Eukaryota; Viridiplantae; Streptophyta; Magnoliopsida; Malpighiales; Euphorbiaceae
Description: long non-coding RNA (MESC_LNC003636)
Source: RNAcentral
ACUUUCUGAACUCACACCUGUAUUUUUCCGUCCUGUUAAUUCAACCGACGGCACUCUUAAAACUUACUUCUGUGCUGAUGAAACGAGGUUACCUUCUUUCAUUAUUAACUCCCAUUACCUUCUUUCAUUAUUAACUCCCAUUUAUUCAAUUGCUAAAUGCGUUUAUAUAUGAAGAUUAUCCUAAUCAAAUUAUGAACAUUAAUGCAGAUCAUCAAAGGCUCCUGAUGUCUUUAAGCAAGUUUAUGGAAGUACUGUUCCAGUGCUCGAAGGUGAAAAGUUGGGCAUGAGGGUGCUGGUAAGUGAUGAAUUUGUACAACAAUGGCUUUUGAAAGUUUGUUUAGUUAAUUAGCAAAUAUUGAUGCAGG